This 522-nucleotide ribosomal RNA is filed under the name uncultured eukaryote. RNAcentral's name for it is "bacterial LSU rRNA". It matches the Rfam family "Archaeal large subunit ribosomal RNA", at positions 214 to 754 of the family's 2987-position model. The record is from RNAcentral.
GAUACCGUCAGUAACGGCGAGUGAACGCGGUAGAGCCUAAACCGAAUCCUGCAAGGGAGAUGUGGUGUUAUAAGCUGGUCUAAACGUUUUGAUCUGGAAGUCGAAGUGGCCUGGAAUGGCCUGCCAUAGAGUGUGAGAGCCACGUAGUCGUAACAGAUCAAUACCGAGACCAUGACUUGAGUACCGUGCGUCGGAAAUCGCGCGGGAAUUGGGGGUCACCAACCUCCAAGGCUAAAAUACAACUUGAGACCGAUAGCGUAGUAGUAGUGUGAACGAAAAGCUGAAAAGUACCCCCAAAUAGGGAGGUGCAAAGAGCCUGAAAUUGGCUGGCGAUAGUGCGUUAGGGCGCCAAAGGAUCUUUCUUUCGAAGGAAACGGUGGCAACGCCGCAGUACGAGAGAGACUGCCAGCGUUCUAACAUGCGUUUUGAAGAACGAACCAGGGAGUGCAUAUUGGCGGCGAGGCUAAUUCUUUAACAGAGGAAGCCGUAGCGAAAGCGACAAGCGCGCAUGAGAAGAGGCGU